Bombyx mori (domestic silkworm) is the source of this 1013-nucleotide long non-coding RNA. RefSeq lists it as uncharacterized. The record is from RefSeq and is a predicted model, not a curated record. Lineage: Eukaryota; Metazoa; Arthropoda; Insecta; Lepidoptera; Bombycidae. The transcript is spliced from 3 exons.
AUAAACUGUCAGCCAUGAAAGUUGCAUCAUAAUUUUAUUUUAUUUGUAAAAAUCUUCCUCCUCACAAAUCCAAAGUAUAAUUAUCUAAAUAAGAAACCGUCCGCUACAAAAUAUCGCGGCACGCGAACGAAUAUGCGUCAGUUUAUCGAAUUUUGAUCGUAUUUAUUACGCCUAAGUGCUUAAAUUAUAACUCUAGUCCUUGGAGAAUAUGUAUUAAUCAAUGAAAUGGUCCGUGUCGGACUCAAGACACAAAGUAAUACUAGUUUAAACUGAUGUCAUCAUACACAAGCCACCAAACAGGAAUCACGAAUUGAAAAUCAAAUUUUUCGUCCCAUCUGUUCGUAGUUUAAAUUUAUUUUUUGUUAAUACUACAUAUAUUAGUACUGUUCCAAUAAUGCAUCAAUUUAUUAAAUUCUUCGUACGUAGCUACUUCCUGGAAUUAGACGGAUCCUCGGUAAUCAUUGAGCAUCUUCAUAAAAAACUAGUUGUAUGGUUUAUGAUCUCACAUUUAUUAUUUACAUUUCAUUAUUUACAAUGUUUCAAAUUUUCGUGCUCACGUAAAAAUAGCUUUAAUUACAAUAGGUCUACGAGUUGCGAAGACCGCAUAUAAUACAUAAGUAUAAAUUUUGUUUGUGGCAUUUCUAUCGUCUAAUUUAAUUUUAUUUAGUUUGCAAUGCAUACAACGAAAUGGCUUUUCCGUGUGCAGUUUAACGGGUUCUUCUGCUAUCGGACAUCGCACCAGUGUACCACAGACUCACGUAUAGUAAAAGCUACUGUAACAUAGAAGUGGCGUUCCAGGAAUCGAUUACGUGACGACGCCCGUGCCGGACUCCGAGCUAGCAAUCUAUGGUACUUUGUAAUUCUACGCAAAAUGUUCUUUUGAAACUAACACCCGUAUCUUUAGUCGUUCACACGAGCCUAACUCGACUCGACUCAACCUCCAACGCGCGUUUUGGUAUGAUUAGUCGUAAAAAUAAACUCCACUCAAACGUCCUUGGAAAAAUUUCCUAACC